RNAcentral lists this long non-coding RNA (307 nucleotides) under Olea europaea subsp. europaea. Lineage: Eukaryota; Viridiplantae; Streptophyta; Magnoliopsida; Lamiales; Oleaceae. The record is from RNAcentral.
GUGCCCUCCAUUUUGUAACAAGCCAAAAAGUGUGUAAAGUCUUGAAUUUGAGAAAUACAAGUUUCCUUUUUUCACUUCCUUCUUCCUAUUAGUGUUGUCCUCUUAAAAGCCUUAGCUAAUCCAAGUUAGUAAAUCCAUCUUUCCUCCAACAAACUGGUAUCAGAGCCCCAAGGUUCUUGUGAAAAAUGGCAAGUGGGAUGAUUCCUUUUCAAGUCCCCCAACUCAACAAGGAUAAUUACGACAAUUGGAGUAUAAGGAUGAAAGCAUUGCUCGGGUCGUAAGAUGCAUGGGAGAUCGUAGAGAAAGG